Molecule: ribosomal RNA, 500 nt
Filed under: uncultured bacterium
Lineage: Bacteria
Description: bacterial SSU rRNA
Rfam family: Bacterial small subunit ribosomal RNA
Source: RNAcentral
UGCUCCUGGUGGCGAGUGGCGAACGGGUGAGUAAUGCGUCGGAACGUACCGAGUAAUGGGGGAUAACGCAGCGAAAGCUGUGCUAAUACCGCAUACGCCCUGAGGGGGAAAGCAGGGGAUCGCAAGACCUUGCGUUAUUCGAGCGGCCGACGUCUGAUUAGCUAGUUGGUGGGGUAAUGGCUCACCAAGGCGACGAUCAGUAGCGGGUCUGAGAGGAUGAUCCGCCACACUGGAACUGAGACACGGUCCAGACUCCUACGGGAGGCAGCAGUGGGGAAUUUUGGACAAUGGGGGAAACCCUGAUCCAGCCAUUCCGCGUGAGUGAAGAAGGCCUUCGGGUUGUAAAGCUCCUUCAGCUGGAAAGAAACGGUACGCACUAACAUUGUGUGCUAAUGACGGUACCAGCAGAAGAAGCACCGGCUAACUACGUGCCAGCAGCCGCGGUAAUACGUAGGGUGCGAGCGUUAAUCGGAAUUACUGGGCGUAAAGCGUGCGCAGGC